AACGAACGUUGGCGGCGUGGAUUAGGCAUGCUAGUCGAACGCGAAAGGGUAGCAAUACCCGAGUAAAGUGGCGAACGGGUGAGUAACGCGUAGGGAACCUGCCUUCGAGAGGGGGAUAACACUCCUAACGGGGUGCUAAUACCGCAUGACACUGCGGGGUCGCAUGGCUCUGCAGUCAAAGGUGGCCUCUGUUUACAAGCUACCACUCGAAGAUGGUCCUGCGUCCCAUUAGCUAGUUGGCGGGGUAACGGCCCUCCAAGGCGACGAUGGGUAGCCGAUCUGAGAGGAUGACCGGCCACACUGGGACUGAGAUACGGCCCAGACUCCUACGGGAGGCAGCAGUCGAGAGGCUUCGGCAAUGGGGGAAACCCUGACCGAGCGACGCCGCGUGGAGGAUGAAGGCCUUUGGGUUGUAAACUCCUGUCAUGAGGGAAGAAACGUCACCGUUCGAAUAGGGCGGUGGCCUGACGGUACCUCAAGAGGAAGCUCCGGCUAACUCCGUGCCAGCAGCCGCGGU
RNAcentral lists this ribosomal RNA (517 nucleotides) under uncultured bacterium. Its description in RNAcentral is "bacterial SSU rRNA". It matches the Rfam family "Bacterial small subunit ribosomal RNA", at positions 29 to 521 of the family's 1533-position model. The record is from RNAcentral.